This 435-nucleotide ribosomal RNA is filed under the name Triticum aestivum (bread wheat). RNAcentral's name for it is "partial small subunit ribosomal RNA". Lineage: Eukaryota; Viridiplantae; Streptophyta; Magnoliopsida; Poales; Poaceae. The record is from RNAcentral.
AGUUUUCUUCCUGUCUUUGGAUUGCAGGAUGUUGGUGAGCCGCUCCUUGGCCGUCACCAGGUCGUUUUGCAGCUUGUCGUAGGCCUCUGCGCCAUCAGCAAGGACAGCAGUUACAGAUACAGAUACACAGACAGAAGUCAUCAAGCUAGCUUGGAUUAUUCAGCGAGUUUGAUGGGGCUAAGAUUUUGUUCACUGACCGACUCCCUCCCCGAUGACCUUCUGCAUCGCCUCCAGCUCGAUCAGCCUGUCUUCAUUUGCCUGCACCGCUGUCCUGGUGACCGCGAACUUGAUCUGCGCGAUCUCCCGCUGGAUGUGGUCGAAGAAGCCCUUGUUGAGCCUGGGGCGGAGCCUGCCGAUCUCGAUCUCGAUCUCCCGCGCGUCCGUGUCCAGGAAGAACUCCACCAGCCCGGCGUCCGUCUCAGGUAUCACCCGCGC